This 379-nucleotide ribosomal RNA is filed under the name uncultured eukaryote. Its description in RNAcentral is "partial 18S ribosomal RNA". It matches the Rfam family "Eukaryotic small subunit ribosomal RNA", at positions 592 to 975 of the family's 1831-position model. The record is from RNAcentral.
CAAUAGCGUAUAUUAAAGUUGUUGCAGUUAGAACGCUCGUAGUCGGAUUUCGGGGCGGGGCGACCGGUCUGCCGAUGGGUACGCACUGGUCGGCGCGUCCUUCCUUCCGGAGACCGUGCCUACUCUUAACUGAGCGGGGGCGGGAGACGGAACGUUUACUUUGAAAAAAUCAGAGUGUUUCAAGCAGGCAGCUCGCUCUUGCAUGGAUUAGCAUGGGAUAAUGAAAUAGGACUUUGGUGCUAUUUUGUUGGUUUCGAACACCGAAGUAAUGAUGAGAAGGGACAGUCAGGGGCACUCGUAUUCCGCCGAGAGAGGUGAAAUUCUCAGACCAGCGGAAGACGAACCACUGCGAAAGCAUUUGCCAGGGAUGUUUUCACUG